GCCCUCGUAGCUCAAUUGGACAGAGCGUUUGCUUGCGGAGCAAAAGGUUCCAGAUUCGAGUUCUGGCGGGGGCA
RNAcentral lists this transfer RNA (74 nucleotides) under Anaerolineaceae bacterium. RNAcentral describes it as "tRNA-Arg". It matches the Rfam family "tRNA". From Rfam's summary of the family: Transfer RNA (tRNA) molecules are approximately 80 nucleotides in length. Lineage: Bacteria; Bacillati; Chloroflexota; Anaerolineae; Anaerolineales; Anaerolineaceae. The record is from RNAcentral. RNAcentral also lists the same sequence under 2 other names.